RNAcentral lists this ribosomal RNA (466 nucleotides) under uncultured bacterium. RNAcentral's name for it is "partial 16S ribosomal RNA". It matches the Rfam family "Bacterial small subunit ribosomal RNA", at positions 28 to 507 of the family's 1533-position model. The record is from RNAcentral.
GAUGAACGCUGGCGGCGUGCUUAACACAUGCAAGUCGAACGAUGAAGCCCAGCUUGCUGGGUGGAUUAGUGGCGAACGGGUGAGUAACACGUGAGUAACCUGCCCUUAACUCUGGGAUAAGCCUGGGAAACUGGGUCUAAUACCGGAUAGGAGCGUCCACCGCAUGGUGGGUGUUGGAAAGAUUUAUCGGUUUUGGAUGGACUCGCGGCCUAUCAGCUUGUUGGUGAGGUAAUGGCUCACCAAGGCGACGACGGGUAGCCGGCCUGAGAGGGUGACCAGCCACACUGGGACUGAGAAACGGCCCAGACUCCUACGGGAGGCAGCAGUGGGGAAUAUUGCACAAUGGGCGCAAGCCUGAUGCAGCGACGCCGCGUGAGGGAUGACGGCCUUCGGGUUGUAAACCUCUUUCAGUAGGGAAGAAGCGAAAGUGACGGUACCUGCAGAAGAAGCACCGGCUAACUACGUG